UCUCAUCAACAAAGGCGCCAAUAUGGAUGUCAUGUCUAAAUACAAUCAUACGCCUCUUCAUUAUGCUGCUAUGAAUGGUCACGAAAAUGUUGCUGAAGUUCUCAUAAAAAAAGGAGCCAAAGUUGAUAUCAGAAAUACUUUGAAUCUAACACCUCGUCAGUUAGCUGUUAACCAUGGUCACAAUAAUGUCGCCAACCUAUUUAUCCAGGGGGAUUGAAAAUUUUAACACUAGCGCUGCAGUUUGCUUGUCAGUUGGUCAGCUGCACAAUUAACAAUCAUGCUGGUGGAGCGGCCACACAAAAACUGGAUCGGUCAUAUAUUUCAUGAUUUCAUUUUUUUUUACUUUUUCUAAAUAAAUAUGAUUAUAACAUUAAAAGUAUUUUGAUUCAAGUGUCACUAUUAUUUUCAUCACCUUUG
Molecule: long non-coding RNA, 417 nt
Organism: Sitodiplosis mosellana (orange wheat blossom midge)
Lineage: Eukaryota; Metazoa; Arthropoda; Insecta; Diptera; Cecidomyiidae
Exons: 3
Source: RefSeq, a predicted model, not a curated record